UGGGGAAUUUUGGACAAUGGGCGCAAGCCUGAUCCAGCCAUGCCGCGUGCGGGAAGAAGGCCUUCGGGUUGUAAACCGCUUUUGUCAGGGAAGAAAUCUUCUGAGUUAAUACCUCGGGAGGAUGACGGUACCUGAAGAAUAAGCACCGGCUAACUACGUGCCAGCAGCCGCGGUAAUACGUAGGGUGCAAGCGUUAAUCGGAAUUACUGAGCGUAAAGCGUGCGCAGGCGGUUUUGUAAGACAGAGGUGAAAUCCCCGGGCUCAACCUGGGAACUGCCUUUGUGACUGCAAGGCUUGAGUGCGGCAGAGGGGGGAUGGAAUUCCGCGUGUAGCAGUGAAAUGCGUAGAUAUGCGGAGGAACACCGAUGGCGAAGGCAAUCCCCUGGGCUUGCACUGACGCUCAUGCACGAAAGCGUGGGGAGCAAACAGGAUUAGAUACCCUGGUAGUCCACGCCCUAAAACGAUGUCAACUGGUUGUUGGGAAGGUUCCUUCUCAGUAACGUAGCUAACGCGUGAAGUUGACCGCCUGGGGAGUACGGCCGCAAGGUUGAAACUCAAAUGAA
Molecule: ribosomal RNA, 563 nt
Filed under: uncultured bacterium
Lineage: Bacteria
Description: partial 16S ribosomal RNA
Rfam family: Bacterial small subunit ribosomal RNA
Source: RNAcentral